Molecule: ribosomal RNA, 431 nt
Filed under: uncultured bacterium
Lineage: Bacteria
Description: partial 16S ribosomal RNA
Rfam family: Bacterial small subunit ribosomal RNA
Source: RNAcentral
AACGAACGCUGGCGGCAUGCCUAACACAUGCAAGUCGAACGAGACCUUCGGGUCUAGUGGCGCACGGGUGCGUAACGCGUGGGAACCUGCCCUUAGGUUCGGAAUAACUCCCCGAAAGGGGUGCUAAUACCGGAUAAUGUCUUCGGACCAAAGAUUUAUCGCCUUUGGAUGGGCCCGCGUUGGAUUAGCUAGUUGGUAGGGUAAAAGCCUACCAAGGCGACGAUCCGUAGCUGGUCUGAGAGGAUGAUCAGCCACACUGGGACUGAGACACGGCCCAGACUCCUACGGGAGGCAGCAGUGGGGAAUAUUGGACAAUGGGCGAAAGCCUGAUCCAGCAAUGCCGCGUGAGGGAUGAAGGCCUUAGGGUUGUAAAGCUCUUUUACCCGGGAUGAUAAUGACAGUACCGGGAGAAUAAGCUCCGGCUAACUCCG